AUGGCGAGCCCUGGUGGAUUUCAUCGUUCAGUUACCCUGCAGGCCUUAUCUAUCUUCUCUUCACUUGCAGUUUUUGUAGCAGAAGUCCAAGGAGGAGAUGUGUGCGCACAAUUCUCCUGUGGACAUCUGCAAAACAUAUCGUAUCCUUUCUGCCGGAGAGGUGAUCCUCUCAACUGCUGUGUUGGAGCAUAUGAGCUGGGUUGUAGCAGUAGCAAGGCUACAAUUUACAUCAACUCAGGAACAUACUAUGUGACUGGCAUCAACUACACCGAUUCGUCCUUCUGGGUCGUGGAUGCCAGCUUGGAUGUCAAUAGUAGCUGUUCUCUUCCUUACUUAGGCUAUGGGGAGGAAAGCUGCCUAACCGAUUCACAAGGCUUUUGUGAUUUGACCACUAAUAGCGACAACUGGGCAUGCUUUGUUAAUUGCUCUCGAGCUGUAACGCAUAACAGUCAGUACAUGCCCAUUGCUUGCCUUAAUGCGAAGAAUUCACAUUUUUAUGUUUUGGUGGCUAAUUAUAGAGGCUGCAUUGUUGAAGAUCUUGAACCUUUUUGUGGAUAUUUGGCCAUGCGUCCCUUUGGUUCGUAUACCACCAGGCUACAGCAGAAUGCAAGUUAUGCAGAUAUCAUGCAAUUCAUAAGGAGAGGCUUUUCUGUUCAGUUUCCUGAAAUGCAUGCGGAUCCAGGUUGGCCUUCUGUCUAUGAAGCCAUCAAUAUAUGCCUGAACAAUUCAACCAGCUACUACAAGCAGCAAAUAUCCGGUGCAAACAUCCUCAACUGGACUCGUACCUUUUUCUGGGGCGAGACACAUUUCUUAAAAUGCAUAGCUGAAAACACCGACAGCAUGAUCUUCAUUGCAGUUGUUAAAGCGAUAAUAUCCGCUAUUGAUAUCCCCAAGUUCCUCAUCGUACUAUGCAGGUUUUUGUUGGCGCCCCUGUCUGUAUUGAUCUUCCUUGCCCAGAAGUAUUGGAAAACAAGGAUAACAAUUGAUGCAGUUGAGAAGUUUCUCCGAAUGCAGCAAAUGCUCGGUCCGAUGAGGUACGCCUAUACCGAUAUCACCGCAAUCACAGGCCACUUUAGAGAUAAAUUGGGGCAAGGGGGGUAUGGCUCUGUGUACAAGGGCGUACUGCUCCCAGGCGAUGUCCAUGUCGCUGUCAAGAUGCUAGCAGGUAACUCGAACUGUAACGCAGAGGAUUUCAUCAGUGAGGUCUCCACCAUUGGCAGGAUACACCAUGUCAAUGUGGUCCGUUUGGUCGGGUUCUGCUCAGAGGAAAUGAAGAGGGGACUGGUCUACGAGUACAUGCCUCGAGGUUCUCUUGACAAGUACAUCUUCUCGGAUGAGAAGUGUUUCUCCUUGGACAAGCUCAAUGAGAUUGCUCUGGGCAUUGCCAGUGGAAUCAACUACUUGCAUGAGGGAUGCGAUAUGCAGAUUCUACACUUUGACAUCAAACAGCACAACAUCCUUCUUGACAGCAAUUUCACCCCCAAAGUUGCUGAUUUUGGUCUUGCCAAGCUGUGCCCAAGGGGCGACAAUUUUGUGCCAUUAAGUGCCUUACGAGGAACCGUUGGGUACAUUGCUCCUGAGAUGAUAUCUCGGGGCUUUGGUGUCAUAUCAAGCAAGUCCGAUGUUUACAGUUUUGGAAUGCUGCUGCUGGAGAUGGCAGGAGGAAGGCGGAAUGCAGAUCCAGAUGCACCGAACUCAAGCCAAGCAUAUUACCCAUCGUGGGUGUAUGACCGUCUGACUGAGCAGGAAGCGGGUGAGAUAUCUAUUGUUGAUGACAUGCAUGAGUUGGAGAAAAAGCUAUGCAUCAUUGGACUGUGGUGCAUUCAGAUGAAGUCCCAUGAUCGCCCGACAAUGAGCGAGGUUAUAGAGAUGCUUGAAGGUGGUGCCAACAGCUUGCAAAUGCCUUCCAGGCCAUUCUUUUGUGACGAAGGGCACAUUCAUACUGAUGAUACUUACCAUUUAUCGUCUGAGUUGACUGAAAUCUCCGAGGAGGAUGACUGA
RNAcentral lists this ribosomal RNA (2001 nucleotides) under Triticum aestivum (bread wheat). RNAcentral's name for it is "partial small subunit ribosomal RNA". Lineage: Eukaryota; Viridiplantae; Streptophyta; Magnoliopsida; Poales; Poaceae. The record is from RNAcentral.